CUCCUCUUUGACAGCAGCAUAUUCAGAGUCGAACUCCUGUUUGGUGUCCUCCUGCAGAUGGAGGCCAUCUCUCCUGUCAGCGGCGGAGCAGCUGGACGCAUCUUCGCCGUGCUCGUCGCAGAUUUCGGCUGCACUGAGAGGAGCAGUUGUCCCCGACAAAGCCGAAGUGGCACUGGCAGUUUCCUGGAGAUGUGCACGUUCCAUUGACACAACCUUGUGCACACACCGGCUCACAUUGACCAGAAAGACUGCAAGGUGCAGUGAUAUCCCUGAGGCAGGUCGUGGCAGUCCUGGGUGCUGUUGCAGUGAUGGUGGCCGUUCGCACAUUCAUCCUCCUGUGGACAGCGCAGGAAAGACCAACUAGUGUUUCCUAGCGGACAAACCUCUUCACUCACACCUGGAAGCAAAAAUAAACUCCUCUUCCUUCCGCUGCUCCACAAUCCUGGGGGCAUAUUGGGCGAUCACAGUGUGGCCCCCCAUACCCCUGAGGACACUGGCACAGCCCCCCCUGGCACUGGGCUCCACCCGGACACGUGGAUGAUCCCUGUUCAUCUCCCUCAGAGCUCUGCCGGCAUCGCCGGACCCAGAAAGACGCAUUGAAGCCCUGUGGUUUGUUUGAGGACAGUGUUCCAGGUCUGGGCUGUCACGCAACAGACAGCGGGAUAAAGAUGGACACCAGCCACAAGACUGGUCAGACAGACAGGCCAGGCAAGACAUGUAUCCUGCGCAGGAACCUGAGCGGAACGGCUCCAAGAACAGAAAGGAGAUCUCCUAUGACAUGAAAUGAAAAAAAAAGAGAAAAAUACAAUAACUACAAUGAAAAAA
Oryzias melastigma (Indian medaka) is the source of this 825-nucleotide long non-coding RNA. RefSeq lists it as uncharacterized. The record is from RefSeq and is a predicted model, not a curated record. The transcript has 5 exons. Lineage: Eukaryota; Metazoa; Chordata; Actinopteri; Beloniformes; Adrianichthyidae.